UCUUUUAGCUAGCACAAAUAUGUAUACUAGUUCAGAGACAAUGGACGUCAUACUAAACUCCGAAUUAUACCCAAGACACUAAGAUUAAAAUCAGUCAAGACUAUCAAAAGUCAGAGGCUCCUGACUUGGGACAGGCGCAAACAUUCAGCGAGGUUGAACAUGUUUUUGAGAUCUCAGCCUUCCCCCUAUACAUCUAUCCAAUGUAGUAAAAACAAACACACAGCAAUAUGCACAGUAAAACUCAGUUAA
Molecule: long non-coding RNA, 249 nt
Filed under: Mytilus galloprovincialis (Mediterranean mussel)
Lineage: Eukaryota; Metazoa; Mollusca; Bivalvia; Mytilida; Mytilidae
Source: RNAcentral